This 424-nucleotide ribosomal RNA is filed under the name uncultured archaeon. RNAcentral's name for it is "partial 16S ribosomal RNA". It matches the Rfam family "Archaeal small subunit ribosomal RNA", at positions 323 to 746 of the family's 1478-position model. The record is from RNAcentral.
CUACGGGAGGCAGCAGUCGCGGAACUUUUACAAUGCACGCAAGUGUGAUAAAGCGAACCAAAGUGCUUAUCAUUUAGAUAAGCUUUUUCUCUACGUAAAAACUAGGGAGAAUAAGGACUGGGAAAGACUGGUGCCAGCCGCCGCGGUAAUACCAGCAGUUCAAGUUGCAUCCAUUUUUAUUGGGUCUAAAACAUCCGUAGCUUGGUGCUUAAGUCUCUUGUGAAAUCUCACGUCUCAAGCGUGGUGAAGUGCAGGAGAUACUGAGUACCUAGAGAUCGGUAGACGUAAGCAGUACGGGACGGGUAACGGUCAAAUGUGUUAAUCCGUCUUGGACUAACAAUCAGCGAAGGCAGCUUACGAGGACGAAUCUGACAGUGAGGGAUGAAGGCCAGGGGCGCAAAACGGAUUGGAUACCCUUGUAGUC